RNAcentral lists this ribosomal RNA (483 nucleotides) under uncultured bacterium. RNAcentral describes it as "partial 16S ribosomal RNA". It matches the Rfam family "Bacterial small subunit ribosomal RNA", at positions 28 to 507 of the family's 1533-position model. The record is from RNAcentral.
GAUGAACGCUAGCGGCAGGCCUAAUACAUGCAAGCCGAACGGCAAGUCUGAUAGCAAUUUUGGAUCUAGAGUGGCGCAAGGGUGCGUAACACGUAUGCAACCUGCCCGCGACAGGAGGGUAGCUCCCCGAAAGGGGAAUUAACCCUCCAUAACACCAUGAGAAGGCGUCUGAUUAUGGUUAAUCCGCAAGGGGUCGCGGAUGGGCAUGCGGUUGAUUAGCUAGUUGGCGGGGUAAAGGCCGACCAAGGCGGUGACCAAUAGGGGGUGUGUGAGGAAGGUCACCGACACUGGGACAGGGAUACGGGUCAGACUGGUACGGGAGGCAGGGGUAGGUAAUAUAGGACAAUGGUUGCAAGACAGCCACAGCCAUGCCGCGUGGAAGAAGAAGGCGUUCUAAGGCGUAAUCUGCUUUUUAGAGUAGAUAAAAGACCCGAGCGCGGUGAAUUGAAGGUAACAAGAGAAUAAGCCACGGCUAACUACGUG